CAAUAGCGUAUAUUAAAGUUGUUGCAGUUAAAAAGCUCGUAGUUGGACUUCUGAUUCGAAAGAUCGGUCCGCCGCAAGGCGAGCACUGAUUCUUCGAGUCUUCCUCUCGUAGUUGUUUGGCGCACUUGAUUGGGUGCCAGAUGAAUAUGGGACCUUUACUUUGAAAAAAUUAGAGUGUUCAAGCAGGCACACGCCUUGAAUACAUUAGCAUGGAAUAAUAAGAUAGGACCUUGGUUCUAUUUUGUUGGUUUCUAGAGCUGAGGUAAUGAUUAAUAGGGAUAGUGGGGGCAUUCGUAUUACGGUGUUAGAGGUGAAAUUCUUGGAUCGCCGUAAGACGAACUACUGCGAAAGCAUUUGCCAAGAAUGUUUUCAUUGAUCAAGAACGAAAGUUAGGGGAUCGAAGACGAUUAGAUUACCA
Molecule: ribosomal RNA, 418 nt
Filed under: uncultured eukaryote
Lineage: Eukaryota
Description: bacterial SSU rRNA
Rfam family: Eukaryotic small subunit ribosomal RNA
Source: RNAcentral